RNAcentral lists this ribosomal RNA (430 nucleotides) under Sphaeroma retrolaeve. RNAcentral's name for it is "partial 16S ribosomal RNA". It matches the Rfam family "Bacterial large subunit ribosomal RNA", at positions 1845 to 2558 of the family's 2925-position model. Lineage: Eukaryota; Metazoa; Arthropoda; Malacostraca; Isopoda; Sphaeromatidae. The record is from RNAcentral.
UUCCGGUCUAUCUGCCCGGUGAAAAUUUAACGGCCGCAGUACCCUGACUGUGCUAAGGUAGCAUAAUAAUUAGCCUCUUAAUUGGAAGCUAGAAUGAAAGAAUCGACGAGAGAUUAACUGUCUCGACAAAUCUAUUAACUUAUUUAGUGAGUAAAAAAACUCCCACCCCCUAGCAGGACGACAAGACCCUAUAAAACUUCACCUUUAACCUUGCGCUAAUAGACACUCUCCCAGGGAAAAAGGUUUUACUGGGGCGGUAAUCUUUAAUUUAAACAAUAACCACUUCAACAUUAUCAAUGAGGCCGACGAACUCUCUUUAGAAAUCAAGAACAAGUUACUUUAGGGAUAACAGCGCAAUGCUUCUUUAGAGCCCUUAUCGACAGAAGCGCUUACGACCUCGAUGUUGAAUUGAAGCUCCCUCGCGAAGCAG